GUAAUGAGUGGGUACAAGAAAUGACAUUAAAGUGCUUGCAUUGUGUUUCAUCUUGGUUUUAUCUGUGUGUGAAAUACACUUUUUCUCAAAAAGCUUAUCUGAAGCUCAGAAGUGUGGUGUCAGAAUACAUAUGCGUACCUGCUAGGCUCUCAGAUCCAGAUACUGGUGCUGUCAGGAGAGAGCACAGCAUAGCGUGUAUGGGGGCUUUACUGUAACAUUAAGCAUACAAAGUGUUGAUUUGCUUGCAGUUUUCCCCAUAGCUAAACACUGAGGCCUGUGAGUAGUUUUAGGACUUGAGCAGUAAUGGGGUUGCAUGUCUCUGUUAAUCAUUGCCAGCUGCAGUGACAUGAUCAGGAAGGCCAGUGUUUUGUUCCAUUAUGUCAAAUGAGGCUAAGCAUGUUGGAAAGGAUGCAUAAAAAGUAUGCUGUUCUGGGUAAUUACUUUGCUUCUUCCACUACUACUAGCAAGUUUGGAAUCAGCUAAUUAGCUUCAGAUUUUUUUUUUCUCUCCAUACCAGCUAGUGGGGCUCUUAAAUAGCUGCUUACUGGAAAAGGCAAAAAAGGGAGGAUUGGCCUUCUCCCACCUCUGUCAUUGCUGCUAGGUAAUGAUUGACAUGUUAGGACUUGGCUGUGCAAUCCCGCAGUGGUCUGUGAAUACCCCAUCUCUAUAAAUGUUGCUUCUGAACACCAGUACUGAAGAGCUAACUGGGGAGGGUUGGGAGGAGUGUGGCUAUAAGUGAAUCUGGAGUGUUAAAAGGAUGCACAAAGAUAUAGUAUCCCUUAUGCAUGGUGUUUGUUGCUAUGGCAUAGAAAACAAAACGUGCAUACUAUACUUCUGCUCCUGAGGGCCAUGAUAAAACCCAGGUGGUGGGUUUGAGACUAAACUUGAACUUCUCCCUGCCUGGUCAGAUCACAAUGUGACCAUGGUGUGAUUUGCCUCCCAACUAGAGCUGUGCACAGAACCUUGUACUACAUCCCUAGCUGCUGACCAUUGCAGUUUGCCCUCAGCUUAGCUAUAUAGCAAAAGGGUGGGUCUUCAGAAGGGAAGAAUCUGUUGCUGAGAAUAAAAGCAGUAGACCGACAAUGCUAACCUCUAGUGUCUUCCUUUGGCUUUUGAAGCACUUCUAGGACUAUUGAACCUGAGGGCUGCUAGGAGUCCAGGGACAUUGCACUCCUUCAUGAAGGGCAAGACAGAGGGCAUUACUGCAGGAGACAAACUAGGGUAAAAGAGUUGAAGUAGCUUGACAAAAUUGUUAAUGCCUUCACAUAAGGGAUAGUAUACCUCUGGCUGCAAUCAAACUUCCUUGUACUCAGACUGGUGAUUUACGGUUUGUGCUCAGACAAGGUGCAGUUCUUCAGUCAACUACCUGCAUAUUCCUUCAUCUCUUUACAAGUGUUUAGGCUAGCCUAUUUCUGCCCCAUAUUCUUCCACUUAAUAUUUUGGAAUAAUUUGUAAAUUCCCCCUCAUAACUAAUCAGUCUAUGCAUCUUAAAACCUUAUUUUUAAGUUAGUUUUGAAAUGGUCAGAAUUUUCUGUGUAUUACUAUAAUAACUUCAGUUGUUAUCCUUUAGGUGAAGAUGAAAGCUGAGUGAAACCGGAGUGCUCAUCCAUGGGAAUUCAGGAGCUGAGCAUGAGCACACCCAGCAUGAUGCCCGGUGAUAUGUGGAGGGACUAAGAUAACAAGUGAAUGAAAGAAGAUGAAAUUCAAAUGCAGUGAAGAGGACCCAGGAAUACACCAUUUAAAAAAAUAAAAUACUUGAAUUU
Long non-coding RNA from Phaethon lepturus (White-tailed tropicbird), 1763 nucleotides. RefSeq lists it as uncharacterized. Lineage: Eukaryota; Metazoa; Chordata; Aves; Phaethontiformes; Phaethontidae. The record is from RefSeq and is a predicted model, not a curated record. The transcript has 3 exons.